This 934-nucleotide long non-coding RNA is filed under the name Homo sapiens (human). Its description in RNAcentral is "long intergenic non-protein coding RNA 3021". The record is from RNAcentral. Lineage: Eukaryota; Metazoa; Chordata; Mammalia; Primates; Hominidae.
GCUCUCUCCUGGCGCCUCCCUCCUCGCUGAACGCCAACAGUGCUCUUCCUCAGAUGCUCGAUUUGACUGGUGUGAGGUACAAAACAGUCACGAAAGUGAAAUCAUGAGACUAUUACCGAUGUAAAUGGCAGAUUCACCUCAAGAAGGAGAUACUUAAGAAGGUCUCAGAGACAGAUUAUGCCACUUCUGGAUCUACUGAAGUCUGAGUCACACCUGAGAAACACAGAUGCAGGAGAAAUCUCCUAAUAUAUUCAGAAUUGAUGUGUAAUCCCCCAUAAAAUACAUCGUUUCCAUUGUAAAAAUCAGUGAUGCAAACCCACUUCACGCGCAGCACCCACCUGCACCGUACCACACAACGCUGUGACAACACUAACACGAAGCUGAUGCUGAUUGCUCAACAGUGAGGGAUCCCUGCCCAGGAGCAGCCAGCACCGUGGAGCUGAUAUCAAGACUGAUUUACAUGAUGGACAAAUUGUGAAAAUCCCAUUGAAGGAUGAACAGAUAAAGACAAUGUAUGUACCUAUCUACAAUGAAAUAUUAUUCAUAAAGGAAGUCUCAUUUUCAGCAACCUGGAGAACACCAUGCUAAGUGAAAUAAGCCAGGCACAGAAAGACCAGGCCUGCAUGAGCUCGUCCUGAUGUGAAACCUAAGGGAGUCCAACUCUCAAGUACCGAGACUAGACUGCGGUUAGCAGGAGCUCGGGGAGAGGAAUGCGAGGAGAUGGUGCUGAAGCAGCACAGACCCUGAGCUAUGCAAAGUGAGUGAGUUCUAGAGACCGCUGCACAAGGGUGCCUGUCGUAAGAUGGGGAGUGCGCGCUCAACCAUGGCUUAAGAGGGUCGAUUUCAUGUCACGUGCUUCUUACAACAGUUUCUAAAAGGAUGAAUUCAUUCUUCUAGAAUCACAAUUCUAAAUAAAAAUAACUCCAGAAAAAAA